AGUGAACGCUGGCGGUAGGCCUAACACAUGCAAGUCGAACGGCAGCACAGUAAGAGCUUGCUCUUACGGGUGGCGAGUGGCGGACGGGUGAGGAAUACAUCGGAAUCUACUUUUUCGUGGGGGAUAACGUAGGGAAACUUACGCUAAUACCGCAUACGACCUACGGGUGAAAGCAGGGGAUCUUCGGACCUUGCGCGAUUGAAUGAGCCGAUGUCGGAUUAGCUAGUUGGCGGGGUAAAGGCCCACCAAGGCGACGAUCCGUAGCUGGUCUGAGAGGAUGAUCAGCCACACUGGAACUGAGACACGGUCCAGACUCCUACGGGAGGCAGCAGUGGGGAAUAUUGGACAACGGGCGCAAGCCUGAUCCAGCCAUACCGCGUGGGCGAAGAAGGCCUUCGGGUUGUAAAGCCCUUUUGUUGGGAAAGAAAAGCAGCAGGUUAAUACCCCGCUGUUCUGACGGUACCCAAAGAAUAAGCACCGGCUAACUUCGUG
RNAcentral lists this ribosomal RNA (492 nucleotides) under uncultured bacterium. Its description in RNAcentral is "partial 16S ribosomal RNA". It matches the Rfam family "Bacterial small subunit ribosomal RNA", at positions 29 to 507 of the family's 1533-position model. The record is from RNAcentral.